GCCCAAGAGAUCGGGAUAACACCUGGAAACAGAUGCUAAUACCGGAUAACAACAGAUGAUGCCUAUCAACUGUUUAAAAGAUGGUUCUGCUAUCACUCUUGGAUGGACCUGCGGUGCAUUAGCUAGUUGGUAGGGUAACGGCCUACCAAGGCGAUGAUGCAUAGCCGAGUUGAGAGACUGAUCGGCCACAUUGGGACUGAGACACGGCCCAAACUCUACGGGAGGCAGCAGCC
This 233-nucleotide ribosomal RNA is filed under the name uncultured Lactobacillus sp. Its description in RNAcentral is "partial 16S ribosomal RNA". It matches the Rfam family "Bacterial small subunit ribosomal RNA", at positions 128 to 355 of the family's 1533-position model. Lineage: Bacteria; Bacillati; Bacillota; Bacilli; Lactobacillales; Lactobacillaceae. The record is from RNAcentral.